AUAGUAAGUGCUCAAUAAAUACUAUUGAGUGAACGAUACAGAGAAGAUUAGCAUGGUCCCUGCGCAAGGAUGACACCCAAAUUUGUGAAGCGUUGCCCAUUUUU
Small nuclear RNA from Ornithorhynchus anatinus (platypus), 104 nucleotides. The record is from RefSeq and is a predicted model, not a curated record. NCBI's taxonomy places the organism in Eukaryota, Metazoa, Chordata, Mammalia, Monotremata, Ornithorhynchidae.